UCAUAUUCUCUGCACAUUUGAUAUAACUCGUACUUUGCACAAGUCACAUAAGUUGUGACUUAUGUGAGGUUUACUGUGAUGUAACGUAUCCACUCUCUCCCUCCAGCUUGCUGGCUGUAUCACAGGCAAAAUAGCAGCGAUUGGUUUAUGGGUUUUAAAAAGUCCGGUUAGAGAACAGAACCUGAUCUUAACCAGGAAAAAUGGAACAAACCAGCUUCGACAGAGCAAAAGGCAAACGCUGCCCCUUUUUUGCUUUGCUUUGGGACGCGGCCAUGAAAUGGACACUGCGAUCACUCUCGAGAGGAAAGCAAUGGAGAACAUUACGUGGACAGAAGAACUCAAGGUGGCAGAGGGCAGCUGGUAGUUACCUACAGACCUUUACCCCACCCAGAGAAGAAAAGGGGAGAGGGGAUAUGCGGGAGGGGUGUGACAAGAGGAGGCGGAGUUACAAACACACAGAAGAUGUAACUUUGGAAUAGUUGGGAGUUGUCGUAAAGUGUCAGCGCAUUUCCCAGUGUGAAUUGAUAUCGAUUUUGCUGUAUCUAUGGUCUCAGUUUUAAGAAUAAGUCUGGCUAUUUGUAUUACAUAAUAAACUUUGGAUUAUUACA
This is a long non-coding RNA of Callorhinchus milii (elephant shark), 608 nucleotides long. RefSeq lists it as uncharacterized. The transcript is spliced from 2 exons. The record is from RefSeq and is a predicted model, not a curated record. Lineage: Eukaryota; Metazoa; Chordata; Chondrichthyes; Chimaeriformes; Callorhinchidae.